RNAcentral lists this long non-coding RNA (763 nucleotides) under Chinchilla lanigera (long-tailed chinchilla). Its description in RNAcentral is "lncRNA (ENSCLAG00000024008.1)". The record is from RNAcentral. Lineage: Eukaryota; Metazoa; Chordata; Mammalia; Rodentia; Chinchillidae.
GGGGCACAUCCAGACGAUGGAUGGAUAGACACCCGAUUCCUUUGCCUGAGCCUGCGUGGGACAUGUACUCAGGUUAUAGCACCCGAAGGAGAAAAGAUCAUGAAUCCAGCUCAAGCAAAGCAAUGCAGAUGAUGCAUUUCUCCUGGCAGGGGAAAAUUCUUUCUCUGAGGUUGUAUAAGAUAUACUUUGGAAAAUGCACUAGCAGAAACAAAAGAAUUUGUACAUGAAGACAGUGUAUUGUUUUUAAGCAGUGUUCACUGAAGUGAUAAUAUUAUAAAGAAAAGUUUUUUAAAAUUAUGCAUAGUAGAAGAAAUAAAAUCUUCUGUUGUCUAAUAUUGAGAGCUUACAAGUGAUAGUAUUUUGAGUGUGGCAAGUCUUCUGAAAAAAAUGGAAACCUUACUAUAUAGUUAUGUAUGAAGAUUAGAGUGGAUUUUUGAGUCCUGUUUCAUUUUAUCCAUAAAACAUGGCAUCAUGACCAAGCUCCUCUGUCUUUAAAAUUAGUUGAAAAUCUAAUAUGCAUUCAUGUGCUGCAAUGGAUAUGGACUCUUCUACUUUUGGGGAAGUAUACUGCUUUUCAUUCUUGUCUGUUAUCAAUAUUUAUGUACCAGCUUGUUUUCUAGAAAGUAGUGCAAUUAAUGUAUCAGUAAUAAUGUAAGAGAAAGUCUAUUUUUUGUGCCAUUGCUAACUUUGGAGUUGAAUAACUUUUUAAAAUUUGUAAAUCAGCUAGAUAAAUAAAAGAGGACUUCUCUUUAUUACUUUGCUC